UGGGGAAUUUUGGACAAUGGGCGCAAGCCUGAUCCAGCCAUGCCGCGUGAGUGAAGAAGGCCUUCGGGUUGUAAAGCUCUUUCGGCGGGGAAGAAAUUGCACUCUCUAAUACAGGGUGUAGAUGACGGUACCCGCAUAAGAAGCACCGGCUAACUACGUGCCAGCAGCCGCGGUAAUACGUAGGGUGCGAGCGUUAAUCGGAAUUACUGGGCGUAAAGCGUGCGCAGGUGGUUGUGUAAGUCAGAUGUGAAAUCCCCGGGCUCAACCUGGGAACUGCAUUUGAGACUGCACGGCUAGAGGAUGGCAGAGGGGGGUAGAAUUCCACGUGUAGCAGUGAAAUGCGUAGAGAUGUGGAGGAAUACCGAUGGCGAAGGCAGCCCCCUGGGCUAUUUCUGACACUCAUGCACGAAAGCGUGGGGAGCAAACAGG
RNAcentral lists this ribosomal RNA (429 nucleotides) under uncultured Propionivibrio sp. Its description in RNAcentral is "bacterial SSU rRNA". It matches the Rfam family "Bacterial small subunit ribosomal RNA", at positions 355 to 776 of the family's 1533-position model. The record is from RNAcentral. Lineage: Bacteria; Pseudomonadati; Pseudomonadota; Betaproteobacteria; Rhodocyclales; Rhodocyclaceae.